CCCUUAGAUGUUCUGGGCUGCACGCGCGCUACACUGAUGCACUCAACGAGUUUACAACCUUAUCCGGAAGGAUUGGGUAAUCUUUUGAAUGUGCAUCGUGAUGGGGAUAGAUUAUUGCAAUUAUUAAUCUUCAACGAGGAAUUCCUAGUAAGCGCAAGUCAUCAGCUUGCGCUGAUUACGUCCCUGCCCUUUGUACACACCGCCCGUCGCUCCUACCGAUUGAAUGGUCCGGUGAAGCGUUCGGACCGUGGCCUUUGGACGGUUCGCCGUCUGUUGGCUGCGGGAAGUUCGUUAAACCUUAUCAUUUAGAGGAAGGAGAAGUCGUAACA
RNAcentral lists this ribosomal RNA (329 nucleotides) under uncultured eukaryote. RNAcentral describes it as "partial 18S ribosomal RNA". It matches the Rfam family "Eukaryotic small subunit ribosomal RNA", at positions 1470 to 1796 of the family's 1831-position model. The record is from RNAcentral.